GAUGAACGCUGGCGGCGUGCCUAAUACAUGCAAGUCGAGCGAACGGACGAGAAGCUUGCUUCUCUGAUGUUAGCGGCGGACGGGUGAGUAACACGUGGAUAACCUACCUAUAAGACUGGGAUAACUUCGGGAAACCGGAGCUAAUACCGGAUAAUAUUUUGAACCGCAUGGUUCAAUAGUGAAAGACGGUUUUGCUGUCACUUAUAGAUGGAUCCGCGCUGCAUUAGCUAGUUGGUAAGGUAACGGCUUACCAAGGCAACGAUGCGUAGCCGACCUGAGAGGGUGAUCGGCCACACUGGAACUGAGACACGGUCCAGACUCCUACGGGAGGCAGCAGUAGGGAAUCUUCCGCAAUGGGCGAAAGCCUGACGGAGCAACGCCGCGUGAGUGAUGAAGGUCUUCGGAUCGUAAAACUCUGUUAUUAGGGAAGAACAUAUGUGUAAGUAACUGUGCACGUCUUGACGGUACCUAAUCAGAAAGCCACGGCUAACUACGUG
RNAcentral lists this ribosomal RNA (497 nucleotides) under uncultured bacterium. Its description in RNAcentral is "partial 16S ribosomal RNA". It matches the Rfam family "Bacterial small subunit ribosomal RNA", at positions 28 to 507 of the family's 1533-position model. The record is from RNAcentral.